Long non-coding RNA from Rhipicephalus microplus (southern cattle tick), 366 nucleotides. RefSeq lists it as uncharacterized. The record is from RefSeq and is a predicted model, not a curated record. Lineage: Eukaryota; Metazoa; Arthropoda; Arachnida; Ixodida; Ixodidae.
CGUUCAGCCAGGUGUGCAUGAGGCACGAGUUUCGACGUUAUAGUGCGCUGUCUGCCAGGCAACUGCCGUGCGCCUCAGUUGACUCGAAUCCACCGUCAACAUGAAUACAUCCGUUCUCUGCGUCAUCCUGCUGGCGUCCGCAUGCGUGUUUUCUGGCAGCGUGUGGGCGCUGUCGGCAAAAGCAAGGGCCGAGAGGAGCGACUGCAUCUACGAAGAGUGCACGGACGAAGAAUGCGAAGCCAAAGGUCUAGUCUGCCGUCCAAAAGGCUGCGGAGGCUCGCACUGCGUCCAAGGUUAGGCCAUGAGUUUGCCCUGACGGAUGACCUGUGACCCCACAUAUCUGAAAUGAAAAGAAACGAUUACAAA